AAACUUAAAGGAAUUGACGGGNNCCCACACAAGCGGUGGAUGAUGUGGAUUAAUUCGAUGCAACGCGAAAAACCUUACCUACCCUUGACAUGUACGGAAGUUUACUGAGAGGUAGAUGUGCCUGAAAGGGAACCGUAACACAGGUGCUGCAUGGCUGUCGUCAGCUCGUGUCGUGAGAUGUUGGGUUAAGUCCCGCAACGAGCGCAACCCUUGCUAUUAAUUGCCAUCAUUGAGUUGGGCACUUUAAUAGGACUGCUGGUGAUAAACCGGAGGAAGGUGGGGAUGACGUCAAGUCCUCAUGGCCCUUAUGGGUAGGGCUUCACACGUCAUACAAUGGCCGGUGCAGAGAGAUGCCAACCCGCGAGGGGGAGCCAAUCUCAGAAAGCCGGUCGUAGUCCGGAUUGUUCUCUGCAACUCGAGAGCAUGAAGUCGGAAUCGCUAGUAAUCGCGGAUCAGCAUGUCGCGGUGAAUACGUUCCCGGGUCUUGUACACACCGCCUGUCACACCAUGGGAGUGGGUGAUACCAGAAGUAGGCAGUCUAACCGCAAGGAGGGCGCUUACCACGGUAUGAUUCAUGACUGGGGUGAAGUCGUAACAA
This 598-nucleotide ribosomal RNA is filed under the name uncultured bacterium. Its description in RNAcentral is "bacterial SSU rRNA". It matches the Rfam family "Bacterial small subunit ribosomal RNA", at positions 897 to 1494 of the family's 1533-position model. The record is from RNAcentral.